GCCGGCGUAGCUCAGUGGUAGAGCAACGGUUUCGUAAACCGUAGGUCGGAGGUUCAACCCCUCUCGCCGGCU
RNAcentral lists this transfer RNA (72 nucleotides) under Candidatus Acetothermia bacterium. RNAcentral's name for it is "tRNA-Thr". It matches the Rfam family "tRNA". Rfam says of the family: Transfer RNA (tRNA) molecules are approximately 80 nucleotides in length. Their secondary structure includes four short double-helical elements and three loops (D, anti-codon, and T loops). Further hydrogen bonds mediate the characteristic L-shaped molecular structure. tRNAs have two regions of fundamental functional importance: the anti-codon, which is responsible for specific mRNA codon recognition, and the 3' end, to which the tRNAs corresponding amino acid is attached (by aminoacyl-tRNA synthetases). tRNAs cope with the degeneracy of the genetic code in two manners: having more than one tRNA (with a specific anti-codon) for a particular amino acid; and 'wobble' base-pairing, i.e. permitting non-standard base-pairing at the 3rd anti-codon position. The record is from RNAcentral. RNAcentral also lists the same sequence under 2 other names. Lineage: Bacteria; Candidatus Bipolaricaulota.